GUUAGGAAUAUUGGACAAUGGGCGCAAGCCUGAUCCAGCCAUGCCGCGUGAGUGAUGAAGGCCUUCGGGUUGUAAAGCUCUUUAGCCGAUGAUUAUAAUGACUGUAGUCGGAAAAUAAGCCCCGGCUAACUUCGUGCCAGCAGCCGCGGUAAUACGAAGGGGGCGAGCGUUAUUCGGAAUCACUGGGCGUAAAGCGUGCGUAGGCGGCUUUGCAAGUUGGGAGUGAAAGCCCAGGGCUAAACCCUGGAAUUGCUCUCAAAACUGCAAGGCUCGAAUUCGGGAGAGGAUAGCGGAAUUGUCAGUGUAGCAGUGAAAUGCGUAGAUAUUGACAGGAACACCAGUGGCGUAAGCGGCUAUCUGGACCGAUAUUGACGCUGAGGCACGAAAGCGUGGGGAUCAAACAGGAUUAGAUACCCCAGUAGUCC
Molecule: ribosomal RNA, 425 nt
Filed under: uncultured bacterium
Lineage: Bacteria
Description: partial 16S ribosomal RNA
Rfam family: Bacterial small subunit ribosomal RNA
Source: RNAcentral